UUUUCCUCUCUAUUUGUUAAGGCUUGCCUUUUGCUUUGUGUAUUGUCAGUAACCUAGAUUUCCAGUCCACAACUAGAUAUUUUUUCAAAAAAUAGAAGUCAUAGGUAAGUGCUGGUUAAUAAGAAACAAGGAUAUAUAUUCAGAAGAUGCGAAUGUAGGGCCGUUUGGUUGGAGGAAUUAAGUCAGUUUUCCUGGUAUGAAAUUUCGGAUUAAAUCAACCUUGUGUUUUUUUUUUUUUUUGAGGACAAGGGAACCCCGCAGCCGCUACCCUUUGGGUGCGCACAGGGUAAAACCCCCGCUCCUAUGCAAAAGCUCGCAAACCACAGAGCAGAGGUAACCCGCACUAGGCAAGCCCGGCACGACGAGCUCGACACAGAAGGCAAACCCCUUGCUUUCGCUGGCAAGGGGUUUCGAACUUGAGACCUCCAACAGGGAAGUCCCAAGCCCAAACCACUGGGCCACCCCGAAGGGUAAAUCAACCUUGUGUUUUUUUUUUUUUUUUUUUUUGAUGACAAGGGAACCCCGCAGCCGCUACCCUUUGGGUGCGCACAGGGUAAAACCCCCGCUCCUAUGCAAAAGCUCGCAAACCACAUAGGAGAGGUAACCCGCACUAGGCAAGCCCGGCACGACGAGCUCGACACAGAAGGCAAACCCCUUGCUUUCGCUGGCAAGGGGUUUCGAACUUGAGACCUCCCACAUGGAAGUCCCAAGCCCAAACCACUGGGCCACCCCGAAGGGUAAAUCAACCUUGUGUUUUUUUUUUUUUUUGAUGCCAAGGGAACCCCCCAGCCGCUACCCUUUGGGUGCGCACAGGGUAAAACCCCCGCUCCUAUGCAAAAGCUCGCAAACCACAUAGGAGAGGUAACCCGCACUAGGCAAGCCCGGCACGACGAGCUCGACACAGAAGGCAAACCCCUUGCUUUCGCUGGCAAGGGGUUUCGAACUUGAGACCUCCCACAUGGAAGUCCCAAGCCCAAACCACUGGGCCACCCCGAAGGGUAAAUCAACCUUGUGUUUGGUUGAGGGUAUUAGGUAAAACCAUUUAUAUGGUAUCUAUGCCAUGUAGAGGGUGAGAGAUAUAAUCUUGGUUAUAAUCCCAGGAUAACCUGGUUUCGAACCAAAUGACCCCCAAGGAUACAAUAGGAAAAGGGGAAAAUUCAACCAAUAUUUAGAUACUACACACAUAGUAGGUAUUAGUAGGGGUGUGUAUUCAGUUACCGGUUUGGUUUUAGAAAUAACAUGAUUUUUUUCAAUUUUUGGUUUUGAGAAAGUGUAAUCUUAUUCAAACCCAACUAGGUUCGG
Molecule: long non-coding RNA, 1302 nt
Filed under: Solanum tuberosum (potato)
Lineage: Eukaryota; Viridiplantae; Streptophyta; Magnoliopsida; Solanales; Solanaceae
Description: long non-coding RNA (STUB_LNC004118)
Source: RNAcentral